RNAcentral lists this ribosomal RNA (497 nucleotides) under uncultured bacterium. RNAcentral's name for it is "partial 16S ribosomal RNA". It matches the Rfam family "Bacterial small subunit ribosomal RNA", at positions 28 to 507 of the family's 1533-position model. The record is from RNAcentral.
GAUGAGCGCUGGCGGCGUGCCUAAUACAUGCAAGUCGAGCGAACAGACGAGGAGCUUGCUCCUCUGACGUUAGCGGCGGACGGGUGAGUAACACGUGGAUAACCUACCUAUAAGACUGGGAUAACUUCGGGAAACCGGAGCUAAUACCGGAUAACAUGUUGAACCGCAUGGUUCAACAGUGAAGGACGGUCUUGCUGUCACUUAUAGAUGGAUCCGCGCCGCAUUAGCUAGUUGGUAAGGUAACGGCUUACCAAGGCAACGAUGCGUAGCCGACCUGAGAGGGUGAUCGGCCACACUGGAACUGAGACACGGUCCAGACUCCUACGGGAGGCAGCAGUAGGGAAUCUUCCGCAAUGGGCGAAAUCCUGACGGAGCAACGCCGCGUGAGUGAAGAAGGUCUUCGGAUCGUAAAACUCUGUUAUUAGGGAAGAACAAAUGUGUAAGUAACUAUGCACGUCUUGACGGUACCUAAUCAGAAAGCCACGGCUAACUACGUG